UUGCUUGAAGCCCUCCUUUUAACCCACCAAAUAGGUACAGCACAGGCACCAGCACUGCAAGCUUCAUCACAUUGCCCUGCCAGUGUGCUCCAGUCCUAACAUUGAGCCCUCUGCCACAGAAGGAAAGCUGGCUGAGUGUGCAUGUCCGGGCAGAUUUUGGCUUCC
Molecule: small RNA, 165 nt
Filed under: Chrysemys picta bellii (western painted turtle)
Lineage: Eukaryota; Metazoa; Chordata; Testudines; Emydidae
Description: TUC338 (ENSCPBG00000020638.1)
Source: RNAcentral